This 77-nucleotide transfer RNA is filed under the name Lactobacillus crispatus. RNAcentral describes it as "tRNA-Arg". It matches the Rfam family "tRNA". From Rfam's summary of the family: Transfer RNA (tRNA) molecules are approximately 80 nucleotides in length. Their secondary structure includes four short double-helical elements and three loops (D, anti-codon, and T loops). The record is from RNAcentral. RNAcentral also lists the same sequence under 1 other name. Lineage: Bacteria; Bacillati; Bacillota; Bacilli; Lactobacillales; Lactobacillaceae.
GGUCCCGUAGCUCAGUUGGAUAGAGCAACAGCCUUCUAAGCUGUGGGUCAGAGGUUCGAAUCCUCUCGGGAUCGCCA